AUUGAACGCUGGCGGCAGGCCUAACACAUGCAAGUCGAGCGGAUGAGUGGAGCUUGCUCCAUGAUUCAGCGGCGGACGGGUGAGUAAUGCCUAGGAAUCUGCCUGGUAGUGGGGGACAACGUUUCGAAAGGAACGCUAAUACCGCAUACGUCCUACGGGAGAAAGCAGGGGACCUUCGGGCCUUGCGCUAUCAGAUGAGCCUAGGUCGGAUUAGCUAGUAGGUGAGGUAAUGGCUCACCUAGGCGACGAUCCGUAACUGGUCUGAGAGGAUGAUCAGUCACACUGGAACUGAGACACGGUCCAGACUCCUACGGGAGGCAGCAGUGGGAAUAUUGGACAAUGGCGAAAGACCUGAUCCAGCCAUGCCGCGUGUGUGAAGAAGGUCUUCGGAUUGUAAAGC
Molecule: ribosomal RNA, 400 nt
Filed under: uncultured bacterium
Lineage: Bacteria
Description: bacterial SSU rRNA
Rfam family: Bacterial small subunit ribosomal RNA
Source: RNAcentral